GUGGCUGUGGGCGUCGGGCUCCGCCAGCCAGGCGAGCCGCGUGCCGGGCAGCGUGCGCAGGGUCGAGCGCAGGGGUGUCCAGUGCCAUGCCUGGGGUCUAGGCUGAGCUGCCUCUUCAGCUGGGAAGAAAACCCUUCUGCUCGGGGCUUGGCUCCGCCUCACUCGCGGUGCUGAGUCAAGGAAAGUGCAUUUCGCCAAGGUGUCAAACUUCAGGACCUGGCCUGAGAACCUGACCUCAUCUCACCUGAAGUCUCCGAGAGUGCGGUUUGCAGACCAGUUGAGUGCAGACUCCAGAGUUUCCCAACUGUGUGAUUUUGUGGAAGUCAUGUCUCCUUCCUGAGCCUCAGUUUCCAGUUAUAGAUUUGGGGAUGACAGUAAUUUCUUGGAGUAAUUGUGGUGGGGAUGACAGUCUGAAGAGACCAAGGAUAUGGAAGCCCUCAGGCGGUGAUGUAGGGUUAUUCGAGCAAGGGGCUUUCAGAGUUGGAUGCUGUGUCCCGCAGGCUUACAACUCAUCUGUGGUACCAUGCCCUGACGGAGUGCCACGAGUCUCCAGGCCUUAGCUGUGUCUCUUUCCUGCAGCCUCACUGGAAAGGCUGGAAACAGGAGGAGGCAACCACCCCAUGGGAUGUGGGAUAUCUGGCUCCCAUACAAGCCUCAGCAUACCGGCCACCCCCAUGGGGGUCUCUCAGCCUCUUCCUGAAUCUGCAGUUCACACAGUCCUCUCAGCACUCUGGCUAGGAAUCUCCGUUGGCCAUACAUCCCUGCCUGGAUCUCCCCUCCUGGAAACCAGAAAUUUAAGCAGGAGUGAUCUUUGUGCCUUUCCCACUAACUUCUGGAAGGCAUUCUAGCUGGCCGUUCUGGGCCCUAAGAAGUCCUCCCUUCCCACAAAACUCAGAGGGCUCUGUUGGGGUCCUAACUUCUUCACUUCUCUGCUGCUGGUAGUGGUGCUGAAGGUCUCCCUUCAUGAAGUACUCACCUCGCUUUACUCCAUAGGGCCCACCUGUAUUUGUUCAUUCAGUAAAGUCUACAUCAUGGAGCAGCAGUGACAGUAACUCUAAAUCCUGGCAGAGGCAGCAAAGUCCUGGCCUCACCCCACCCAAGCUGCAGGGGGUCACCCGGAAAUCCACAUAUUGUUAGGUAUCCAUUAUGUGGCAGGUACCAGUCCAAGUGUGGGGCUAGAGCAAUGAACAAAACCAAGACUCUGCUUACAUGGCACUUACAUUGUCAAUGUAAGCAGGGUGAUAGACAAUGAACAAAUAAGCAAGGAAGUAUGUGAUGCCAGGAGGUUAGAAGCCUUAUGAAGAAAAAGCAAGGCAGGGAGACACAGUGAUGAAGAUUAUGGAGUGAUUAGAGAAGGCCUCUCUGCUACAUUUAAGCAGAGACCUGAAUGAAGAGAAUUGGAAGCAGAUACCUGGAGAUAUGUAGGGCCAGAUAGAGGGAUAAGCAUGUGCAAAAGUCCUGAGGCAGGACCAUGUUUGGCAGAUUCAAAGUAUGGCAAGGAGGCUCAUAUGUCUGCAGCAGGGUGAGUAAAAGAGAUAGUGGGAAAUGGGGUGAGAGAGAGAGAAACAGGAUUAUAUUCUGAGAUGGCUUGAGCCAUCUCACUGGAGGGCUUGAGCGGAAGAGAAGAAUAUCACUAUCUGAUUUACAUUUUAACAGGAGCAUGCUGGUUACUGGAGGGAAAGGGCAGAAGGAGGGAGACCAAUUAGGAGGCUAUUGCAAUAAUCCCAGUGAGUGGAGCUGGUGAAAAGUGGUGGUUGAAUUCUAGAUAUAUGUUUUCAAGAUGGAGCUAGCAGUAUUUACUCACGAUUGCAUGUGGGAAGUGAGAUAAGCAAGGAGCUAAGGAUGACUCCUGCAAGAAUGGAGUUGAGAAGACUAGGUUUGUGGGUGGUAGAUUAAGUGUCCAGGUUUGGGCAAAAUUUGAAAUGCAUAUCGGAUAUCCAGAUGGAAGUGUGGAUUAGGCAGGGGGAUUUUUAAGGCUGGAGUUCCCAAGGAGAGGUCUGAGUAUGAGGAAGAGCUGUCCAUUCUACCUCUAAGACCUGUCUCAAGUCAGUCCAUCCCUAGUGUCACCAUCCUGGACUAAGCUGUCACACUGCUGCUCUGGAUGACCACAAUAACCUGGCUGCCCUCCUCACUUCCUCUGUAGCCUCAGUAUAAUCCAUUCGUUACAUAGCAGCCUGAGUAGACCUUUACAAUGUAAAUGGGAUUAUGCCAUCCUCCUGCUUCAAACUCCCCAGCAGCUUCUUGCAUUUAGAGUAAAAUCUCAUCUCCAUCCCCUGGCCUAUCAGGCCCUGCAUGAGCUAGCCUCAGCCUGUGUCUCUUACUACACCUGGAGGCACCAUCCGUUUUGAUUGCUCUACUCCAGUUAGCCUGACCUCCUUUCUUGUCUUCUAACACUCUGAACAGGAUCCUGCCUUGGAGCCUUGUCCUUGCUGCUCUAAACUCAUAGCAUUAUCCCCUGGGCUUUUCCCAAGAUUGACUGCAUUUUAUAUAAUAGAUCUUCUUGCCUCCUUGGGACAUCACUGACCAUUCCCUCUAAGAUAACUGCCCCCCAUACUCUGGUUCACACCACCCUGUUAAUUUCCUUCCAGGCACUGCCACUCUUUAUAAUCUUCUUCAUUAGUUUGUUCAUGACUGACUUAGCCCCAUGAAGGCAAAGAUGUUUUGUUCACAAUGACAUUUCCAAAAACCAUCACAGUGGCAGUCACACAGUAGGCACCUGAUAAAUGUCCAGUGAAUGAAUGAGUGGCCUCACGCCCUUUGCAUCUCUAUGCAUAUAUUUGAAU
Molecule: long non-coding RNA, 2783 nt
Filed under: Homo sapiens (human)
Lineage: Eukaryota; Metazoa; Chordata; Mammalia; Primates; Hominidae
Description: HSALNT0172659
Source: RNAcentral